Molecule: ribosomal RNA, 449 nt
Filed under: uncultured bacterium
Lineage: Bacteria
Description: partial 16S ribosomal RNA
Rfam family: Bacterial small subunit ribosomal RNA
Source: RNAcentral
AACGAACGCUGGCGGCAUGCCUAACACAUGCAAGUCGAACGAGAUCUUCGGGUCUAGUGGCGCACGGGUGCGUAACGCGUGGGAAUCUGCCCUUUGGUUCGGAAUAACAGUUGGAAACGACUGCUAAUACCGGAUGAUGACGAAAGUCCAAAGAUUUAUCGCCAGAGGAUGAGCCCGCGUAGGAUUAGCUAGUUGGUGUGGGAAAGGCGCACCAAGGCGACGAUCCUUAGCUGGUCUGAGAGGAUGAUCAGCCACACUGGGACUGAGACACGGCCCAGACUCCUACGGGAGGCAGCAGUGGGGAAUAUUGGACAAUGGGCGAAAGCCUGAUCCAGCAAUGCCGCGUGAGUGAUGAAGGCCUUAGGGUUGUAAAGCUCUUUUACCCGGGAUGAUAAUGACAGUACCUGGAGAAAAAGCCCCGGCUAACUUCGUGCCAGCCGCCGCUGUAA